Molecule: long non-coding RNA, 724 nt
Filed under: Elaeis guineensis (African oil palm)
Lineage: Eukaryota; Viridiplantae; Streptophyta; Magnoliopsida; Arecales; Arecaceae
Description: long non-coding RNA (EGUI_LNC040726)
Source: RNAcentral
CCAGGGAAGACUUCACCCGGACCCCUACGGGAGCUGGGUUCCGUCCACGACGCCAAGGAAGACUUUCGGCACCGAUUAGGAAGACAACGACAUCUCCGAAAUAAUGUGGGGCCCAGACGGCCAAGCUCGGGCUUGUGGCCACGCACGACGAGAAAGGCGAGCUAACGCAUCGACGACCGGGCGCCCCCUGACGAUGUCUACAUCAGACAAGUCAAACGACAAGAAAGGUUCGGCAGAUGGCAAUAUUAGUGCAACGCGCAGACGAGGUAACACAAAAUGCUCUUUUUAUUCCAUUUCCGAUAUACACACUACAAAGCCAGGAAGGCCAAGGAAAGAAGGGCAAAACGAUAAAAAGAAAGUAACUACAUGACAAGACAGAAAGACAAAAAGAGCUCUAAGAAGGCCCUGCUCCCUCCGACCUAGAGUUAUCUAUUUCGUUCCUCAACCAGGACUGCCUCAGAUUCUCAAUCUCCUCUUCUAGCUCUUCCCUCUUCCGCAGCGCGUCCUGGAGCGCCCGACGAAGUUGCUGGCUCUCAGCCUCCACCUCUCGACGCCUCUUCCUCAAAACUUCAGACUCCGCCUCCGCGUCCGCGAUGGCCCGCCGCUCGAGUGCCAGUUGGAUCUUCACUUGCUGCAGCUCGGCUGUCUUUUCCCUGAGAGAGACAGAAAUCCCCUCCACGGUGCCUCUUAGGGCUUGGAGCUCUUCAGAAUCUUGGGCGGAAGU